UUUGCAUUGGGUCGCAGUACAGCUGGUCCUGCACAGGCUCCAUCUAUUGCAUUGUCCUCUGAAGCUCCUAUUGAAAUCCUAGGAAGGCUUUCACACCAUCAGCUUCACCCAAACGAUUUCGUGAUUGACAGGAUUGACAAAUGGACCAAUUAGACAUUAGAUUUGUGGUUUUUGAUCAUUAGGCCUUGGAAAAAAGAAAGAGACGGAUCGUCAUUUUAAAAAGGCAUCACGGGACAACAAUGUGCAGUUCUGUGAGUGUAUGUGAACCUGCCUGUGCAGGAUUCCAUUCUUCCUGGCCAGAAAAUGAUGUGAAGCUAACAGUAUUGAAUGGGUUUGUCAAACCUGCAUCACUUUAAGGUUUGAUGCUCAGGACUUUUCUCGAGCCAUGACUGCCUGGAAUCUGCUCACCACAACACCUCUGUGCUGCCUGGAGUCUACUCACCACAACACCUCUGCUGUCUGCAGUCUCUUCUCCCUGCUUCUGGACACACCCGGUCACUUGGGAUUUCUUGAGCCCCAACUCUUGUCUGCACCGAGCUAUCAACGGCUCCCAAAGCUUUUCCUAAGCUGAACCCUCUCAGCAGCAUGGAACAAGCAAAUACCUACUGGGGCUUCGUCUGAACCCCGACUGAGUUACCAGAAAGCUCCCAGGGCGAACAUCAGCACUUUAGCUGCAUGGGGAUGGUCGUCUUUUUCUUCACCUGCUCAUGACUUACUGACUGACUAAAAUUGACUGACCCUUGAACUGCUCUUCACUGACUCUUGAACUGAUGUGAAGAACCUAUGAACACACUCACAGUGGGUCCCACCCUUGUUACUAGGUGGAAACAAUGCAACAGCAUUGGAAUACCCUUGAAAUAUUACGAUGUCCACAGGGACACACAGGGACACACUGAUCAAUGGAUUUCUUAACACUAGGGAGACCGAGGCUGAGGAUUACCAGCCUGAAUAUCCCUGCCGGAACUUGGAGGAGGAUACCACGUUUGAGUUUGAUCACUGUGACAUCUGACAGUAUGGGAUUUUCUGUGGUAUGAGACCUGCAGUUAAAAACAUUUACUGAGCAAUACAGGAUGUGAAGGAAAUUGUGUUGAUGCAUAAUAUGCCAAAUGGUUACUUUAUUAGAAUCAUGCUGUAUAUGACAGAUUCAUAUCAGUAGCUGCAACGAACGUGAAUUAUGCUGUAGCGUUAAUUACAAUUGUCUGGGUUUUAAGUUCAGCAGGCUGUUAA
Molecule: long non-coding RNA, 1227 nt
Organism: Carcharodon carcharias (great white shark)
Lineage: Eukaryota; Metazoa; Chordata; Chondrichthyes; Lamniformes; Lamnidae
Exons: 3
Source: RefSeq, a predicted model, not a curated record